UACGGAGGGGGCUAGCGUUGUUCGGAAUUACUGGGCGUAAAGCGCACGUAGGCGGCUUUGUAAGUUAGAGGUGAAAGCCCGGGGCUCAACUCCGGAACUGCCUUUAAGACUGCAUCGCUUGAAUUGUGGAGAGGUAAGUGGAAUUCCGAGUGUAGAGGUGAAAUUCGUAGAUAUUUGGAAGAACACCAGUGGCGAAGGCGACUUACUGGACACAUAUUGACGCUGAGGUGCGAAAGCGUGGGGAGCAAACAGG
RNAcentral lists this ribosomal RNA (253 nucleotides) under uncultured bacterium. RNAcentral's name for it is "partial 16S ribosomal RNA". It matches the Rfam family "Bacterial small subunit ribosomal RNA", at positions 524 to 776 of the family's 1533-position model. The record is from RNAcentral.